RNAcentral lists this long non-coding RNA (614 nucleotides) under Mytilus galloprovincialis (Mediterranean mussel). The record is from RNAcentral. Lineage: Eukaryota; Metazoa; Mollusca; Bivalvia; Mytilida; Mytilidae.
UGAAGAUUCACAUGUAAAAUUAAAUCCACAAAAGAUGGUAUGGCACAAAUGAAAAUGAAUCCACAGCAUUGAUAUCAAUCUGUUUACAAUCAGCUUAUGAUUGUUAUGUUAUUUCCUAAGAUAGUGUGUUGGAGAGAUUCACUACAAGGAAAAGUUUUAAACCAUAGUUAGUUAUUGAGUACUUAUUUUGUGAAUUACCGGUAGUCAUGUACAUACUGUGGAUUCAUUUAUUUUUAUGGGUACCAACUUUCAUGUGUUAAGAAAAAAAAACAUUUUCUUUGAUUUUUGAUUUUGUGGUUUUCUAAAUUCUACGACCAAGCCUAUAGGAAAUGUUAACUUUAAUAAUAAAAGAUUUGAAUUCAUAGUUCAUCUUUAAUUUUACCCCAAAAAUCUACAAAAAUUAGGAUGCCAUGAAUAAUAAUGAAUCCACAGUAUCAGCUUUUAUGUUCCAGCUUUUAAUAGCUUGAUGGGAAGCCAUUUGAUCAAUGUUUUGUUAUUGUUUUGUGUAUAGAAUUAAAAGGUUGCCAUUGUAAAAUAAACAUGAAAUUUUUAUCAUACAUUAUGAGAUCAUUUUAGUCUUUGUAACAUGGUUACAAAUUAAAAUCAGAUACCAG